AUUAAUAGACAGAAAGUAUUCUCUUUCCAAACUGAGAAUAGGGUUUAGCUCAUAUGCCUCAGUGGGAUACAUGGGUGUUUGAGGACCUGGGAGGGGGGCAGCUAAUUUGCUGGCAAGGUGAAAACUAGAAAUCAAUAAUCGGCCCUGAUUCCCAGCACCUGACUGAAAGGUCUUUUAGGAAGCCACAGAGAUAGCUGGUUGCCUGGAGGGGGCAGGAAGGUCUUGGUGCCUAGUUUACAAGAGGGCUUAUUCACUUGUUUGUGUUGGAUAAGUGAAUUCGGUGCUUGUGGAAGAUGCCAGAUGGGCUGCAUGGGAGCCAGGAAGUCUCUGUCUCUCCACCAAGCAACAGCAGCGUGUGCUUCCCAAACUGAGCUGCCAAAGUGCCUUAGACCUGAGCUAUAGAUUACCACACUCCAGAGACAGCUGUUGUAACUGGAAACAGCCACUCUUUUGUGCUAACCUGAAGUAUCUGAGAAGUUUCACACCCAAAAGGAAAAACACCCUCUGCCAUCACAGCCCUCAACCAGACUGCUGUUCUAAGGGAUGUUGAAACCCUAUCUCUGGUCCACGAGUAAGAAUAAUGCCUCCUGCUGUAUUGCAUUCUGUGGAGCUAAGAUGGAUUUGCAAAAAUAAAGAUUCCAAUGUUUUCUGACACCAUCUCACUCCCUGGCAUGGGAAGGAUGAAUGGAACAGAAGCUCACAUUACUGAUUUUCACAGCAUUGCAGACCUGAGCUGCUAGCAGGGAAGCCAAUGUAUGAGAAACUGAGGAGUGUGUGUUUUAGGAAGAAACCAUCUGGAUCUCUUAGACAGCUCAGUAUGUAAUUCUGUUAAUACUAUAGAGUCUUUUAAUGCCACUUUCUGUAAUAAUGCAUCAGAGCUAAGAGAUUGUGGUUAGUUAUGGGUGUGCUAUAGCUAUUUUUCUUCAGAGCUGUAUCCUUAAUGGCAUUUUUACACAAUAUUUUCUUGUCUUUUGCAAGCUAAGCUGUUUUUGCUACGUGCACACAGCCUUUCGGGGCAUGGUGCGGGUGGCUGUAAUGCAGUGGGUGCUGAAAUUGGGUGGGGGGCCUGCAGCACUCCUCAGCCUCCAGCAGCUCCCAUGGGCAGGGCUGGCUGUAGUGCUGUGGGCGCUCAUCCAGAGGGAAGGGGCAGCGCUGCCAUGUGCCCCAAAACCCUGGGAAAGGGGAGGAUGUGUUCAGGGCCCUCUCACAUUUCACCAGAAAAUUUUCGCCUUUAUUGAAAGCUAAAUGCUGAAGUGGGAUUCAGGAAUUAAUAUUUCAGUAUCAAGAUAAUUUUUUUUCUCUUGCUCUCAUAAAAUAUUUCUGUCCCUAUGCACCCACUGCACCUUACUGGACCACACCACUCUAGGACAGAGUCUAAAUCUCCUGUUUGUAAGUAUGAAUGCCUGCCAUGUGAAUACAAAAAAAUAUA
Molecule: long non-coding RNA, 1429 nt
Organism: Cygnus olor (mute swan)
Lineage: Eukaryota; Metazoa; Chordata; Aves; Anseriformes; Anatidae
Exons: 6
Source: RefSeq, a predicted model, not a curated record